UCGUUUGGCUGGCAAAGCGCUCGUUACCCUGACUUUUCUCUCUACUGGGCCCUCCCAUUGCUAUUGCCAUAAGCUAUCGCAACAACAGGCCCCAAAAAAGGAAACAGAGUUCGAUUCAUAUAAUGAAACAAUCAACUGGAUGUCAACAUAAAGGACAUUGGCCUUUUUCGAUUUUUAUAGAUUUUCAUGCUUUUACAACAAAACAAUGAAGACAUGGAAUUUAUUAAAAGGAAAAUAUGAUA
RNAcentral lists this long non-coding RNA (242 nucleotides) under Nicotiana benthamiana. RNAcentral's name for it is "long non-coding RNA (NBEN_LNC033017)". The record is from RNAcentral. Lineage: Eukaryota; Viridiplantae; Streptophyta; Magnoliopsida; Solanales; Solanaceae.